This 601-nucleotide ribosomal RNA is filed under the name uncultured bacterium. RNAcentral's name for it is "bacterial SSU rRNA". The stretch from base 1 to 532 matches the Rfam family "Bacterial small subunit ribosomal RNA", at positions 338 to 873 of the family's 1533-position model. The record is from RNAcentral.
CCUACGGGAGGCAGCAGUAGGGAAUAUUGGGCAAUGGAGGCAACUCUGACCCAGCCAUGCCGCGUGCAGGAUGAAGGCGUUAUGCGUUGUAAACUGCUUUUAUAUAGGAAGAAAGAGUUCUUGCGAGAACAGUUGACGGUACUAUAUGAAUAAGCACCGGCUAACUCCGUGCCAGCAGCCGCGGUAAUACGGAGGGUGCAAGCGUUGUCCGGAUUUAUUGGGUUUAAAGGGUGCGUAGGCGGUUUAUUAAGUCAGUGGUGAAAGACGGUCGCUCAACGAUUGCAGUGCCAUUGAUACUGGUAGACUUGAGUGAGAUUGAGGUAGCUGGAAUGGAUAGUGUAGCGGUGAAAUGCAUAGAUAUUAUCCAGAACACCAAUUGCGUAGGCAAGUUACUAAGUCUUAACUGACGCUGAGGCACGAAAGUGUGGGUAUCAAACAGGAUUAGAUACCCUGGUAGUCCACACUGUAAACGAUGAUAACUAACUGUUGGCUUUCGGGUCAGUGGUACAGAGAAAUCGUUAAGUUAUCCNCGNGGUAAGUAGCGCGAGUAGAAGUUAAGUAAGUUAGNGNGNGAGAGNGCGAGACGACGACGAGGAGGAGG